RNAcentral lists this ribosomal RNA (394 nucleotides) under uncultured bacterium. RNAcentral's name for it is "partial 16S ribosomal RNA". It matches the Rfam family "Bacterial small subunit ribosomal RNA", at positions 338 to 730 of the family's 1533-position model. The record is from RNAcentral.
CCUACGGGGGGCUGCAGUGAGGAAUAUUGGUCAAUGGCCGCAGGGCUGAACCAGCCAAGUCGCGUGAGGGAUGACGGCCCUAUGGAUUGUAAACCUCUUUUGUCCGGGAGCAAAGGGCGCUACGCGUGGCUGUCUGCGAGUAUCUUACGAAAAAGGAUCGGCUAACUCCGUGCCAGCAGCCGCGGUAAUACGGAGGAUGCGAGCGUUAUCCGGAUUUAUUGGGUUUAAAGGGUGCGCAGGCGGAGUGUAAAGUUAGCGGUAAAAUUCCGGGGCUCAACUCCGGAGUGCCGUUGAUACUGGCGUGCUAGAGAGUACGUGAGGUAUGCGGAAUGCAUGGUGUAGCGGUGAAAUGCAUAGAGAUCACACAGAACACCGAUUGCGAAGGCAGCAUACC